RNAcentral lists this non-coding RNA (132 nucleotides) under Blastocystis sp. ATCC 50177/Nand II. The record is from RNAcentral. Lineage: Eukaryota; Bigyra; Opalinata; Blastocystidae.
UUAGUCCUUGUCGAGGGUGUCAACGUUGUACCAAUGACCGUUUGGUGAGAUACAACUAGCUGGCAACUGAAACAAAUGAUACACAUACGUGAGCCUGACGUCCUUUCGUUCGGGUUUCCAAUUUUUGGUUCA